GGAAGAUAGGAAGAUAGGAAAUCUUUAUUGUGUCAGUUUAAAAACCCCAGGCUGUCCCAUCCUCAUGUCACAUCUGUGCAGUGGGCUGGCUCACCUGCACAUCCUGGGACAGGAAUGGGAUAAGGCCCAGCUGGCCUUCUCCUCCCCUCCUCUGCUCCAGCCCUCAGCUCACCAGAGUUAUGUCAGCAAUGCCUGGCGCAGCAUCUGCUUCUUUUGGGGUGUGAGGCGGGUGGGGAACUGGAUGUCGAAGAAGAUGAAGAGAUCCCCUUUCUUAGUGGGGUCCUCAGGCAGUGGCAUCCCCUCACCUGGCACCUUCUUGAAGUACUUGGGACUGAGACAGGGGAGGAUGAAAGAAGGGAAAUGAGAGGGCCCCCCAACACUGCUCUCUGACAGAUCCCAUGCUGCCCAUGCUCCCACAACCUCAGGCUUGAGGCAGUCAGUCCAGCUUCCACCAGGUGGCUCUUCUCAGCCAGAAUCGUGUGGCAGGAGAGAGAAGACCAGCUUAUUCAGACAGCCUGCCCCCUGAUAAUCAUUUACACUGGAGGUUCCAGGAAUAGAGGUUCCAGCCUAGGUUGGGGUCGGGGGGGGGGGGGGGGGGUGCUGGGCUGCUGAGUAAAGCUUCCCAUACAGAGGCCCUUUCCUGUAAAGGACUUGAGGGAUACAACUCAGAACACUAAUGAGACGUUCGGGAGGAGGAAGGCAACAAAGGUCGCCUCUGCAAUCUUUGGGCUCUGUAGCGGCCUCGUGCAAGUUAGAAAAAGGCACUCCAUUUACCAGGUGAAUGCAGCUUGGCCAGAGUUAGGGCUGGAUUUCAGUCCUUGCUAGUGAGGACUGAACUACCCCAGGCUGACCUGUCUGGCACUACCCUCUAAGGCCCAGGCCAGCCCUUCUGCCUACUGGGACCCACACAGAUGCACUCACUGGAUAAUGUCAUUGAUGGGGAUGUUGAGCAGACGAUCAUCCAAGGUCUUCACCUCCACGGUGCAGCAGGUCAGAGCCUAGGGACGUUAGGGCCACAGGUGGGAGUAGGAGAGAUAACCAUGGCCAUUCUGUUUAGAAGGCAUUUUAUGAGCUUAUUCGGUGCCAGACCCUGGGCCUGGCCUCAAGCAGACAAAAGGAUGUUCAGGGACUAACAGGGGAGCGAGCCAGGCAUCUGCCUGCCCUUAGGAGCUCACGGUCUAGUAGGAAAGACUGAUGAUGAUAGAGGGAAGUAAAGGGGUCUGCGGGAGCCAAGGAGAGGCCCCCAAACCACUGUGGAGUGGGACAGGAGGACUACACAGUGGUGGUAGCAGUUGAUGAGGGUGAAGAGGAUCCUGCCAGUCAGACAAGGUGGAUAUACAGCAUUCCACACAGACGGCCCAGCAUAAACAAGAGAAUGGAGGUGGGGAAAUGCUCCCAAUGGACAGGGGCACGGUGGUUGGAGUGCAGGGGAUGAGAUCAGCAGAGGCAGAGUGUGGAGGGCCUUAAACACCAUGUGAAGAUGCUCCGACAGGCGUGUGGCACAGUCAGAUGAGCGUGGGGAAGAGCCUAGAGGAGAUGGGAAAGGAGGCAGGAAGGCCACCAAAGGGGCUGCUGUGCAGACCCAGGUGCUCAGACUCUGACUCUGGGAAUGAACGGAAGGGGACUAGGUGGUAGAAUUGACGGAGUAACUGCCCACAGGUAGGGUGGAGGAGGGGAGGCAAAGUCUAGGCUGGUGCUGUUCCUUGUUUGGAUUGUGAGGACAUGGAGGGGCCCUGAAGACAGCCACAAAGAUUCUAUGUGCACUCCUCACGUUCUGAAGGCCUGCGCCAUAGGCACUGGGGGGAGUGCAGAGUGAGGCCUGCUUGCUCACUCUCAUCUGCCCACUUCUCCUCCUCCACUUUGCCCACUCACCUUGCCCAAGGGAAUGGGAUUCACAAAAAGGAGGUUGUCGUUCUCCCUGCGGAAGCGAGUGUGUAGCUUCUCCUUUACAAUGAAGAUGAUGUCGGCUGGGAUAAUGUUGGGGCCCUGGGCAGAGGAGGCAAGGGGUGACAAGGACUAAUUGGCUGUGUGAUAUUGGCUAAGUUCCUGACUCUACUGGUCUCCAUGUCUUCUUCUGAACAAUGAAGAGAUUGAACUAGGUUUUCUGGAAGGACCUUUUCAGUUUGGUUUCAUAGCCCCUCCUCUGAGAAGCCUACUCCAAUGAAUCCAGCGCCACCCCCCCACCCCAUUACUUCUCCUCUAUGGAGCAUGCCCAACAGGAUUCACUCAGAUGGAGAGGGACAGAAGCUUCCUCAGGGGGUGGGUAAAAUGCUGAGCUGCAAGUUUUGAAAACAACUUCUUACACACCUCUGUCCUGACAAGCUUCUGCUAAGGUCUCUUAAGGGGGCAGAGGAGCCUAACUGGUCCCUACAAGCAAGAAGCUCCCAGUCUAGUGGGGGGAACAGACACACCGUCCUCAGCAUGCUCAGGACUGUGGUAAAAGGAACCCAGAGGCAGGAGAUUAGAGAGGCCCUGAGCCAGGUGGAGAGGUCAGGGGAGGCUGCCCAGAGCCCAGAGCAUUAGAGCUGGGUCCUGAAGGGGUGUUUUGGAAGUAGAUGUUUCACAGGUGAGAAAGGGAGCAAGAAGUAUGGGCAGAGGAAUUAAUCUCUCUUGGCUCUGAAAAUGCCAUCACUCUGCCUCUUCUCAGACCUAAGGAUACAGCAUGCCUUGAACAAUAAUUUUAUAUUUUUAUUUAAAUAAGUAAUUAUCAUGAAGAUAUUAAGCAGUAUUAAAAUUAUUAUUAAUAAGUGGUUUCUGAAUACCUCCUAUAGUUGGGCUUUAUUCAAGAAGCACUGAAGAAAAUCAGGAAGAGCUCUUGUGCUCUUGCCCUGGCCAAAUCCCUUCCCUUUCUGGGCCUCAGUUUCCUACUCUGCAAAAUGGGGGAAAGCCCUGGGCUAUCCACUCACAGAGGUGUUGUGAGGCUCUGUCCCUGGUAAGGGACUUUGGGGAUCAUUUCACCGACUCUGCAGACUGGUCUCCCUACUAGACUGGGGUCACGGGGCAGAGGAAAGCAUUGCCUCCUUCUCCCUCAGUCUUUCCACCACAUGAGCAAGCCUGGGUGACUGACACUAGGACUGACCCUAGUCAGUUCCCUCCUUCUCACCUGGUCCCCUUCCUUCUCAAAGGUGAUCCGUGUGCCCUGCCUCCAACCAGGUUUCACAUCAAUUGUGAGAAUCUUGUCCUUGAUGGUAGAGGAGUACCCAUCCUCGUUCAGUACCUGCAGCCAGAUGGAAGAAGGGAGGUUUGCUCCAGAUUUCCCAGCUGGCCUUUUAACACGAGAAAGAUGCCAAGGGGAUUUUGUGCUCAGAUGCAAUCUUCUAGCAACAGGGAGAAGCUGUCCUGAGCCAUCCCCAUUCUCACCCCAUUUACUGGAACCAAGAACUUACGAUUCUAGGAUGAUGUCAUUGGGCUAGGGCCUGAGAUGCCAAGCAGUCACCAUUAGUUGACCAAGCCCCCAACUCCAGGCCUAGAUCACGUAGCCCUGGCCACUAACAGAUGCAUGGUGAACACAUACUCAGUUCCUCUCUCCCAACCCAGUGGCUCUGGCCCUGAGGGGCUGGCAGGUUUCUUAAUCAUGAAGGGAGAAAGACCACAGAGGUCAACAUAUCUGAGCAUUCCCUAUUAUGUCAUCCAACCAUUCCCCAAUCACAUGCCCAGAUGAGUGCCAUCUGUGCCACAGCUGGCAUCUCCUCUGCUGGGCAAAGGUGUGAGGAGGCUUUGCUCAUGUGUCUAGCAUAGGGCUGAGCCAUAGGAUAGGGUCAACCCAAGGACUAGACUCUGGGCCACUAAAAGUCUUCAAUCAAACCCCUUGGGGACCGUCCCCCAGUGCACCCUCCAUGCCCACACUGUUUCUUCUUACUCCUGAGGCAUACACACUGAUGAAGCCCUGGGGGUAUGGUCUGGUAAUACCCAGAGGGCAGAAUUCACAAGGGACUCCUCCCAUUUGGAAUCCGGCUUCCCACAGGGAUGGGGCUGAUAUGAGAAGAAGGGAAAGACCCUUCUGCAGAGGGGAUUCCUGCACUGGGGAAGAAUCAGGCUAAUACCCUCAAUUGUCCCUUCCAAAUUUCAGAUUCUAGAAUUCUAUGAUCCUAGGUCUUCAAUUCUGAGAUUUCAUGAUUCUAUCAGAGGCCAUACCUGAGGUCUCCAGUGAGGGCAUGGAGGAGGUGACUCAGAGGAUUGGAGGGCAUAGGUAGUGGCCCCCAGUAGGAGCAAGCCAAGUACUCACCCUUCGGGAGAUCUUAAUUUUCUUGGUGCAGCCAAAGAAUAAGUCCUCCAGAGAUAGGUAGAGGUCUCGUUCGAUUGGGGGGUCCUGUUUCUUGACCCCUCGGCCUCGGAGACCCCCAAAGUUCAAAUCUGCCUCACUUCCUUCUACAUCAAAAAACUCUGCAGGAGAGGAGAGGAGAGGAGAGGAGAGGGGAGGGGAGGGGAGGGGAGGAGUAAGAGAGAUUGUAUCAGGGACUUGGAAACACAGACACCCCUCCACACAUACCUCUUCAGUCCCCAAGUGUAAUACUCAGCAUCCCAUUCCUACCUUGCAAACUCAGACUGUUAGGCCAGGCCAAAAAGUUGUCCUAAAUUGCAGAUCCAGUCGUUAUCAUUGCUUGCCACUUCCCACUGCUUCAUCAUCCUGUUUAUAUUCCCCCACUUUCCUGACUCCCUUCCCCCUCAAUUUGGAGAAACACUCCUCGAGGCUGGCUGCCUCAGGAUGGAGAGGAGUGCCCUCUGGUGGCAGCUCCUGGUAUGCCAGAAAUGACUCCCGUUGUUAGCUUGCUGGGGGGACGGUAAUAUCAUUCCAGUCCUUCCUACCCUUCCCCACACUCCACUCUCCCUCACUGUCCAGCCCAGCACAACACCUCUAAAGACCACAUACUCAAGUUUCUGUGAAGUCAAUAGCUGAUACGGGAGUAGGGAAGGGGUGGUUCCUAAUAAAUUUGAGAGUUCAUCAGCAUACCCCCAAACUCUUUUUCCCUCAAUUUCUUUUUUCCCUGCCCAGCUCUACACCCAUAAGUGCUCUUGCUGCCCUGCCCUUCCAUCCCAGUGCAAACAGCCUUUGUCUCUUGAAGUGCUAUGGAGUCGUUUGGUUUCAGUUUUUCUGUCUGUGAGAUGGGGUAAUAAUGCCUGAUCUGCCUUUUUCCAUUAGGAUUAAAUAACAAGACGAUGAAGAAGAGUGGAAACUGGCUGAGAGCUUACUAUGCAUCAGGUGCUGGUUUCAGUUCUUCACAAUAUUGUCUUAUUGGACAGAGAGGCCAAAGAAAAGGCUCACAGUCCCGCAGCU
RNAcentral lists this long non-coding RNA (5275 nucleotides) under Lynx pardinus (Iberian lynx). The record is from RNAcentral. Lineage: Eukaryota; Metazoa; Chordata; Mammalia; Carnivora; Felidae.